Molecule: ribosomal RNA, 428 nt
Filed under: uncultured Verrucomicrobiota bacterium
Lineage: Bacteria; Pseudomonadati; Verrucomicrobiota
Description: bacterial SSU rRNA
Rfam family: Bacterial small subunit ribosomal RNA
Source: RNAcentral
UCGAGAAUUUUUCACAAUGGGCGCAAGCCUGAUGGAGCGACGCCGCGUGGGGGAUGAAUGGCUUCGGCCCGUAAACCCCUGUCAUUUGCGAUCAACCGUUAUUAUUUAAAAGAUGAUAACCUGAUAGUAGCGAAAGAGGAAGGGACGGCUAACUCUGUGCCAGCAGCCGCGGUAAUACAGAGGUCCCAAGCGUUGUUCGGAUUCACUGGGCGUAAAGGGUGCGUAGGUGGCGGAGUAAGUCGGAUGUGAAAUCUCCGAGCUCAACUCGGAAAUGGCAUUGGAAACUGCUCUGCUCGAGGGUUGGAGGGGGGACUGGAAUACUUGGUGUAGCAGUGAAAUGCGUAGAUAUCAAGUGGAACACCAGUGGCGAAGGCGAGUCCCUGGACAACUCCUGACACUGAGGCACGAAAGCUAGGGGAGCAAACAGG